CUUGUGUGCAGGUGAUCCACACUCAGACAGGCUCUACCUAUCCAUCCUCCAUCAGCCAGCUGCCCACAAAGGCACGACUACCUCUUCUCCUGGUACAGAAGCAUCCCUGGAGGUGCCUUUCCCAGGCAGCUCAUGGGAACUGGGGUCACAUACAGCCCCCUUCCCAUCCUCAUCCCUGGCUGCAACAGCUGGGUUUGUUUCUCUGCGAGUCUAAUAUGGUACGUGUGGUCCCCUCCUGGAGCACUGCUGGGUGUAAGCAGAGCCCUGGAGCUGUCUUUAUGAAGCUGUAGUGGAACAGAGGUGCAGGGAUCCCAGGGGCAACUUGCUUUCCUGCUGCACCUUCUGCUCACACCCCCCAAGAACUUCUGCCUUUCAGACCCCCCAGGAACCACGUGCAGGAAGUUGCAGCCAGGAGGUGGACGUAUCUUGCUCUUCAGGAAUGAUGGGAGCCAUCUCUGUGAGGCAGUGCUGCAUUGUUAUGUGAUGCUGUUGAAAAUGGCAUUUCUUCUGCUGAAAUACCAGUUUGCUCCUUCAAGCUCUUUAUUUUUCAGAGGUGACAUUGGAAUUGGCAGUCUCUUCAAUAACUUCAGGUCU
Coturnix japonica (Japanese quail) is the source of this 594-nucleotide non-coding RNA. The record is from RefSeq and is a predicted model, not a curated record. NCBI's taxonomy places the organism in Eukaryota, Metazoa, Chordata, Aves, Galliformes, Phasianidae.